Molecule: ribosomal RNA, 253 nt
Filed under: uncultured bacterium
Lineage: Bacteria
Description: partial 16S ribosomal RNA
Rfam family: Bacterial small subunit ribosomal RNA
Source: RNAcentral
UACGUAGGUGGCAAGCGUUGUCCGGAUUUACUGGGCGUAAAGGGCGUGUAGGCGGUUUGUUAAGUGCAGGGUGAAAGCUCCCGGCUCAACUGGGAGAGGUCCUUGCAUACUGGCGAACUCGAGGGAGGCAGAGGAAAGUGGAAUUCCCGGUGUAGUGGUGAUAUGCGUAGAUAUCGGGAGGAACACCUGUGGCGAAGGCGGCUUUCUGGUCCUUGCCUGACGCUGAGACGCGAAAGCGUGGGGAGCGAACUGG